This is a non-coding RNA of Eptesicus fuscus (big brown bat), 441 nucleotides long. NCBI's taxonomy places the organism in Eukaryota, Metazoa, Chordata, Mammalia, Chiroptera, Vespertilionidae. The record is from the annotation of a RefSeq genome assembly.
AUGGCCUGGACUCCUCUGCUCCUCGCGCUCCUCUCUCUCUGCACAGGGUCCCUCUCCCAGCCUGUGCUGACCCAGCCGCCCUCCCUCUCUGCAUCUCCGGGAGCCACAGCCACACUCACCUGCACCCUGAGCAGUGGCUCCAACGUUGGUGGAUACUGGAUAGCCUGGUACCAGCAGAAGCCAGGGAGCCCUCCCCGGUAUCUCCUGUACUACUACUCAGACUCCAGCAAUGAGCUGGGACCUGGGGUCCCCAGCCGCUUCUCUGGAUCCAAAGACGCCUCGGCCAAUGCGGGGCUCCUGCUCAUCUCGGGGCUGCAGCCUGAGGACGAGGCUGACUAUUACUGUAACAUAUGGGACGGCACCUCUAAGACUCACACAGUGGUCCAGACCCACAGGGAAGGAACAUUCCUCAGGGAUAACGGUUCCCAUGGAGACAUGUGA